Molecule: ribosomal RNA, 406 nt
Filed under: uncultured bacterium
Lineage: Bacteria
Description: partial 16S ribosomal RNA
Rfam family: Bacterial small subunit ribosomal RNA
Source: RNAcentral
GACGAACGCUGGCGGCGUGCUUAACACCUGCAAGUCGAACGAGUGGCGAACGGGUGAGUAAUGUAUGGGGAUCUGACUGAUGGCGGGGGAUAACUACUGGAAACGGUAGCUAAUACCGCAUACCAUCAGAUGAACCCAUAGUGGAUUAGCUAGUAGGUGAGGUACCGGCUUACCUAGGCGACGAUCCCGAGCUGGUCUGAGAGGAUGAUCAGCCACACUGGGACUGGGACACGGCCCAGACUCCUACGGGAGGCAUCAGUGGGGAAUAUUGCACAAUGGGCUCAAGCCUGAUGCAGCCAUGCAGCGUGUAUGAAGAAGGCCUUCGGGUUGUAAAGUACUUUCAGUCGGGAGGCGUUACCGACAGAAGAAGCACCGGCUAACUCCGUGCCAGCAGCCGCGGUAAUAC